GACGAACGCUGGCGGCGUGCUUAACACAUGCAAGUCGAACGGAAAGGCCCUGCUUUUGUGGGUUGCUCGAGUGGCGAACGGGUGAGUAACACGUGAGUAACCUGCCCUUGACUUUGGGAUAACUUCAGGAAACUGGGGCUAAUACCGGAUAGGAGCUCCUGCUGCAUGGUGGGGGUUGGAAAGUUUCGGCGGUUGGGGAUGGACUCGCGGCUUAUCAGCUUGUUGGUGGGGUAGUGGCUUACCAAGGCUUUGACGGGUAGCCGGCCUGAGAGGGUGACCGGCCACAUUGGGACUGAGAUACGGCCCAGACUCCUACGGGAGGCAGCAGUGGGGAAUAUUGCACACUGGGCGGAAGCCGGAUGCAGCAACGCCGCGUGCGGGAUGACGGCCUUCGGGUUGUAAACCGAUUUCGCCUGUGACGAAGCGUGAGUGACGGUAAUGGGGAAAGAAGCACCGGCUAACUACGU
This 467-nucleotide ribosomal RNA is filed under the name uncultured bacterium. Its description in RNAcentral is "partial 16S ribosomal RNA". It matches the Rfam family "Bacterial small subunit ribosomal RNA", at positions 28 to 506 of the family's 1533-position model. The record is from RNAcentral.